GUUUUCAUAGUUUAAAAAAAACACUAGAUUGUGAAUCUAAAGACAGAAAUCAAAACUUUCUUUUAAACC
RNAcentral lists this transfer RNA (69 nucleotides) under Xantusia wigginsi. RNAcentral's name for it is "tRNA-His". It matches the Rfam family "tRNA". From Rfam's summary of the family: Transfer RNA (tRNA) molecules are approximately 80 nucleotides in length. Their secondary structure includes four short double-helical elements and three loops (D, anti-codon, and T loops). Lineage: Eukaryota; Metazoa; Chordata; Lepidosauria; Squamata; Xantusiidae. The record is from RNAcentral.